Molecule: ribosomal RNA, 172 nt
Filed under: uncultured bacterium
Lineage: Bacteria
Description: partial 16S ribosomal RNA
Rfam family: Bacterial small subunit ribosomal RNA
Source: RNAcentral
CCUACGGGAGGCAGCAGUGGGGAAUUUUGGGCAAUGGGCGAAAGCCUGACCCAGCAACGCCGCGUGGAGGAUGAAGGCCCUCGGGUCGUAAACUCCUGUCCUAGGGGAAGAAAAAAAUGACGGUACCCUUGGAGGAAGCCCCGGCUAACUCCGUGCCAGCAGCCGCGGUAAU